Molecule: ribosomal RNA, 368 nt
Filed under: uncultured organism
Description: bacterial SSU rRNA
Rfam family: Bacterial small subunit ribosomal RNA
Source: RNAcentral
CGUAGGGUGCAGGCGUUAAUCGGAAUUACUGGGCGUAAAGCGUGCGCAGGCGGUCUACUAAGACAGGUGUGAAAUCCCCGGGCUUAACCUGGGAACUGCGCUUGUAACUGGUAGGCUUGAGUGUGGCAGAGGGGGUGGAAUUCCACGUGUAGCAGUGAAAUGCGUAGAGAUGUGGAGGAACACCGAUGGCGAAGGCAGCCCCCUGGGCUAACACUGACGCUCAUGCACGAAAGCGUGGGGAGCAAACAGGAUUAGAUACCCUGGUAGUCCACGCCCUAAACUAUGUCAACUGGUUGUCGGGGAAGCAAUUCCUUGGUAACGAAGCUAACGCGUGAAGUUGACCGCCUGGGGAGUACGGCCGCAAGGUU